This 584-nucleotide ribosomal RNA is filed under the name uncultured bacterium. RNAcentral's name for it is "bacterial SSU rRNA". It matches the Rfam family "Bacterial small subunit ribosomal RNA", at positions 338 to 917 of the family's 1533-position model. The record is from RNAcentral.
CCUACGGGAGGCAGCAGUGAGGAAUAUUGGCCAUGGAGGCAACUCUGAUCCAGCCAUGCCGCGUGCAGGAAGACGGCCCUAUGGGUUGUAAACUGCUUUUAUACAGGAAGAAACGCCGCUACGUGUAGCGGUUUGACGGUACUGUACGAAUAAGGAUCGGCUAACUCCGUGCCAGCAGCCGCGGUAAUACGGAGGAUCCAAGCGUUAUCCGGAAUCAUUGGGUUUAAAGGGUCCGUAGGCGGUUUUUUAAGUCAGAGGUGAAAUCCUGCAACUCAACUGUAGCAUUGCCUUUGAUACUGAAAGACUUGAGUUAUUGUGAAGUAGUUAGAAUGUGUAGUGUAGCGGUGAAAUGCAUAGAUAUUACACAGAAUACCGAUUGCGAAAUUUUUUUACUAACAAUAUACUGACGCUGAGGGACGAAAGCGUGGGUAGCGAACAGGAUUAGAUACCCUGGUAGUCCACGCCGUAAACGAUGGAUACUAGCUGUUCGACCAACAUUGGUUGGUUGAGUGGCUAAGCGAAAGUGAUAAGUAUCCCACCUGGGGAGUACGCUCGCAAGAGUGAAACUCAAAGGAAUUGACGGA